Molecule: non-coding RNA, 90 nt
Filed under: uncultured Paenibacillus sp.
Lineage: Bacteria; Bacillati; Bacillota; Bacilli; Caryophanales; Paenibacillaceae
Description: Purine riboswitch
Rfam family: Purine riboswitch aptamer
About the family: Riboswitches are metabolite binding domains within certain messenger RNAs that serve as precision sensors for their corresponding targets.
Source: RNAcentral
GUGGAAUAAUCGCUCGUAUAACCUUGGGAAUAUGGCCCGGGAGUCUCUACCUGAUUACCUUAAAUAGUCGGACUACGAGUGAAUACGUCA